RNAcentral lists this transfer RNA (72 nucleotides) under Candidatus Nanoarchaeia archaeon. RNAcentral's name for it is "tRNA-Asn". It matches the Rfam family "tRNA". From Rfam's summary of the family: Transfer RNA (tRNA) molecules are approximately 80 nucleotides in length. Their secondary structure includes four short double-helical elements and three loops (D, anti-codon, and T loops). Lineage: Archaea; Nanobdellati; Nanobdellota; Candidatus Nanoarchaeia. RNAcentral also lists the same sequence under 1 other name. The record is from RNAcentral.
GCCCGGGUAGCUCAGUGGUAGAGCGCACGGCUGUUAACCGUGUGGUCAAGGGUUCGAAUCCCUUCCCGGGCG